CCCCUAGAUGUUCUGGGCCGCACGCGCGCUACACUGACGGAGGCAGCGAGCGUGUCCUUCGCCGGCAGGUGCGGGCAAUCUUGCGAGUCUCCGUCGUGCUGGGGAUAGAUGGUUGCAAUUGUCGAUCUUGAACGAGGAAUUCCUAGUAAGCGCGAGUCAUCAGCUCGCGCUGAUUACGUCCCUGCCCUUUGUACACACCGCCCGUCGCUACUACAGAGUGCCCGUGUCCAAGAAACGGUCGGACCUGUGCGGCCUCUCCGGGCGACCGGAGGGCCGUUACGGGGAAGACCCUUUAUUUGACGCGGGUCGAUGAAGUAAAAGUCGUAACA
RNAcentral lists this ribosomal RNA (329 nucleotides) under uncultured eukaryote. RNAcentral's name for it is "partial 18S ribosomal RNA". It matches the Rfam family "Eukaryotic small subunit ribosomal RNA", at positions 1470 to 1796 of the family's 1831-position model. The record is from RNAcentral.